AAUAACGUUGUGCAAUAUAGAGGCUUUUCACUUAUAGCUCUCACUAUUUAACAGGCGAAGAUUUAUUAUCCAUUGCAGCAGACCAGCCCUUCCGGUUUCCUGCCACCUUCACAUUUGUUGUUAGGGCCUUCUCAGUUUUGGAUGGCAUUGGAAAGGGACUUGACCCCGUUUUGAUAUUACCGAGAUUGCCAAACCUUAUGCCUUGGAGUUGCUGAGAUUCCGUGAGGCAGGAGUUGAAGUUAUUGUAAAGGAUUUCAGAAAGAGAUGGGACAGACAAUCUCAAGCAUUUUACAACUUAUUUAGACAGGCUGACAGAGUUGAAAAGCUGGCCAGCGUUAUCGAGAGAUUGGUAUGUAU
Molecule: long non-coding RNA, 357 nt
Organism: Lathyrus oleraceus (garden pea)
Lineage: Eukaryota; Viridiplantae; Streptophyta; Magnoliopsida; Fabales; Fabaceae
Exons: 4
Source: RefSeq, a predicted model, not a curated record